UACGGAGGGUGCAAGCGUUAUCCGGAAUUACUGGGUUUAAAGGGUGCGUAGGCGGCUUGUUAAGUCAGGAGUGAAAGUUUGCGGCUCAACCGUAAAAUUGCUUUUGAUACUGGCAGGCUGGAAUCAGGAUGAGGUCAGCGGAAUGUGGCAUGUAGCGGUGAAAUGCAUAGAUAUGCCAUAGAACACCAAUUGCGAAGGCAGCUGGCUAGACCUGUAUUGACGCUGAGGCACGAAAGCGUGGGGAGCGAACAGG
Molecule: ribosomal RNA, 253 nt
Filed under: uncultured bacterium
Lineage: Bacteria
Description: partial 16S ribosomal RNA
Rfam family: Bacterial small subunit ribosomal RNA
Source: RNAcentral